GGGAAAGAGGAGCUCUGAGCCCAUACGCUACCAUCAUGGCCAACAAUGGAAGCGGCGGUGAGAUGCUGGCCUUGGCCGUCGAUGUCGCACAUCAAGUGUUCGUCUACGUAAGUUUGCCACGACAUUUUAUCCUCCGUUUUGUAUUAGCUUGAUCGUGAAGCAGUAGCAGUGGGUCGGUGAAUACAGGUGUGGGUCUGUGGAUUAGCUAAGCUUCCUUAUUGUCUAAGUGUUCAAUAAAAAACAAAAUAAAAAAAAAAAAAAAAA
Molecule: unclassified non-coding RNA, 264 nt
Filed under: Hevea brasiliensis (rubber tree)
Lineage: Eukaryota; Viridiplantae; Streptophyta; Magnoliopsida; Malpighiales; Euphorbiaceae
Source: RNAcentral